Zingiber officinale is the source of this 449-nucleotide long non-coding RNA. RefSeq lists it as uncharacterized. The transcript has 6 exons. NCBI's taxonomy places the organism in Eukaryota, Viridiplantae, Streptophyta, Magnoliopsida, Zingiberales, Zingiberaceae. The record is from RefSeq and is a predicted model, not a curated record.
UUACCCGAUCUCCUUCUCGCAGCGGCGGCUGAAUCCUUCUCCAGCGGUGGCGGAAUCCUUCUCCUGCAGCGGCGCAGGUCUCGCUCGGUGUAGUUGGAGACACUCGUAUCAUAAAGCAUUUUUGUAGAUCUUCCCCGUGGUCAUUAGAGGUGACAUCUAAUAUUUUUUUCCCCUCUUGUUCUACAAGCUAUUUGAAGAAAAAUGUUCCGCUCUAAGUCAGAUUCCUCCGCGUGAUGAUGAUGAUGAUGGCGACGAUGAUAACGAUGAUGCUGGAUUGGUGAGGCGAAAUAUGUAUCGGAGAAAAAAGAAGAGAAGAGUUGAUGGGGAUGAAAGCUUUUGUGGAGAAAGAAGAUGAGUUGAUGUAUCUUAGUUUUUUUUUAAAUUUAACUCCUUGUUUAACUUCUUGGAUUAUUAGACUUUAUAAAUAUUUGAGUGUUGAACUUGUAUAA